UACGUAGGGUGCAAGCGUUGUCCGGAUUUAUUGGGCGUAAAGAGCGUGUAGGCGGUCAGGUAGGUCAGCUGUGAAAACUCGAGGCUCAACCUCGAGACGCCGGUUGAAACCAUCUGACUAGAGUCCGGAAGAGGAGAGUGGAAUUCCUGGUGUAGCGGUGAAAUGCGCAGAUAUCAGGAAGAACACCCGUGGCUAAGGCGGCUCUCUGGGCCGUUACUGACGCUGAGGAGCGAAAGCGUGGGGAGCGAACAGG
This 253-nucleotide ribosomal RNA is filed under the name uncultured bacterium. Its description in RNAcentral is "partial 16S ribosomal RNA". It matches the Rfam family "Bacterial small subunit ribosomal RNA", at positions 524 to 776 of the family's 1533-position model. The record is from RNAcentral.